This 468-nucleotide ribosomal RNA is filed under the name uncultured bacterium. Its description in RNAcentral is "partial 16S ribosomal RNA". It matches the Rfam family "Bacterial small subunit ribosomal RNA", at positions 28 to 507 of the family's 1533-position model. The record is from RNAcentral.
GACGAACGCUGGCGGCGUGCUUAACACAUGCCAGUUGAACGGAAAGGCCCUGCUUUUGUGGGGUGCUCGAGUGGCGAACGGGUGAGUAACACGUGAGUAACCUGCCCUUGACUUUGGGAUAACUUCAGGAAACUGGGGCUAAUACCGGAUAGGAGCUCCUGCUGCAUGGUGGGGGUUGGAAAGUUUCGGCGGUUGGGGAUGGACUCGCGGCUUAUCAGCUUGUUGGUGGGGUAGUGGCUUACCAAGGCUUUGACGGGUAGCCGGCCUGAGAGGGUGACCGGCCACAUUGGGAGUGAGAUACGGCCCAGACUCCUACGGGAGGCAGCAGUGGGGAAUAUUGCACAAUGGGCGGAAGCCUGAUGCAGCAACGCCGCGUGCGGGAUGACGGCCUUCGGGUUGUAAACCGCUUUCGCCUGUGACGAAGCGUGAGUGACGGUAAUGGGUAAAGAAGCACCGGCUAACUACGUG